GGGCGAAAGCCUGACGGAGCAAGACCGCGUGGGGGAGGAAAGCCUUUGGGUUGUAAACCCCUUUUCUCAGAAAAAAAAAAAGUGACGGUACCUGAGGAAUCAGCCUCGGCUAACUCCGUGCCAGCAGCCGCGGUAAUACGGAGGAGGCAAGCGUUAUCCGGAAUGAUUGGGGGUAAAGCGUCCGCAGGGGGCUAAUCAAGUCUGCUGUUAAAUCCCGUGGCUUAACUCCCGAGGGGCAGUGGAAACUGAUGAGCUAGAGUGCGGUAGGGGCAGAGGGAAUUCCCGGUGUAGCGGUGAAAUGCGUAGAGAUCAGGAAGAACACCCGUGGGGAAAGCGCUCUGCUGGGCCGCAACUGACACUCAGGGACGAAAGCUAGGGGAGCGAUUGCGGUUUGAUACCCCCGUAGUCCUAGCCGUAAACGAUGGAUACUAGGUGUUGCCUGUAUCGACCCGGGCAGUGCCGUAGCUAACGCGUUAAGUCUCCCGCCUGG
This 490-nucleotide ribosomal RNA is filed under the name uncultured Lyngbya sp. Its description in RNAcentral is "partial 16S ribosomal RNA". It matches the Rfam family "Bacterial small subunit ribosomal RNA", at positions 373 to 876 of the family's 1533-position model. The record is from RNAcentral. Lineage: Bacteria; Bacillati; Cyanobacteriota; Cyanophyceae; Oscillatoriales; Microcoleaceae.